Molecule: small RNA, 1687 nt
Filed under: Histoplasma capsulatum var. duboisii H88
Lineage: Eukaryota; Fungi; Ascomycota; Eurotiomycetes; Onygenales; Ajellomycetaceae
Description: Histoplasma capsulatum H88 hypothetical RNA
Source: RNAcentral
AAGCACCACGAAACAAAAUAUUUUCUCAAAAACUCCCAAGACAUGAAUCGAUAUCGUCCAAACUACACGUGCGCCCGUACAGAAAGUACACUUCAUCCUCAGCAAUCUAUCAUACAACUGACAUAUUUAAGCACAUCCAAAAAUACGCCGAUAUAUUCGCCUUACAGCGUAGUUAUCCGAUAGGUGAGCAUCCCAUCCGCUGCCAGAAAUUCUUUGCUUACCUUCCAAAAUUAAAAAUACCUGUAGUUUGUCAGAUGCACACACGCCGCCUUUGACGUUUUCGCGGGCGUGCCUGGUUCCUUGAUUAAGUCUGAACAUAGUAACGGAACAGAAUAAGAAACAGGAAUAUAUCGUGGAUCCGACAGCGGAAUCAGCAGAAAUUUCGUCCCCACGUCUACCCAUCACUCUCCACAGCCGGAUCCCCAUAGAAACUUCCAUAUGAACGCUCCGGAUCUCCAUUGUAAACAACAAACCAGCCAAUCUCCGAAUCAGGCGCAAGUUCGUCCCUAAGCUUUUUAAAUACAUCUGUCCCGGCAGUUGACAAGCCCGGGUCCUGCUGUAGGAUGUCUUGCAGGCUCAAUCCUAGGCCCGCACCAGAUAGGGCCUUUGCGCCCAUGGUCAUUGUCUUUGCCGCGACAUAUGCAUAUGGCUGGCUCACGGCAUCAGCGCUAAGAUCCUCGGGAUCGUACUGUUCAAUAAGUUCGAGAUCAGGGAGGUGAGUGAGGAUAUUAGAGUCAAUGAGUUUGAAUGAAUUGAGUACUGCUGUCGUUGUGCUCGGAUGCUGGAGAUAUUCGGCAGCGGCGUCGAGGAUGUUGCAGAGGGUGAUGUAUGCACGAAUGCCUGGAGCUAAGGGGUUGGCCGCUCUAUUCCAACGGAAGCCAUAGAGGAUGUAUGUGACCAUCCUUAUAUGGAGUUGGUUAAGGGAAAUAGAACUCGAAGCAAGGAGUUUUGGAGAGGUUAAGAUGUCUUUGACAGGAGGUUCAUCGAAUUUUCGUUGAGGAAAUUGUCUGCGAGGCUUGUUUCUACAUGUCGGCAGAGGGAGAGCAAGUAAUGGUCAUGUCAGGGAUGGCAGUCCUGUCUCUUGGUGCGGAAGACUGUCCUCAAACUUGCAUGAUGUCUGAAAUACAAGCGCGCCUCAAUGGUGUGACAUUUCUGUGCAAGUGAGCUGGAGAUGAUGGCGUAGAGGUGAGGUCACAUGACUCCCUUGAUACCCUUAAAAUUGCGGGGUUCAUGAUCUGGGAAGAUAAUAUCUAUGCUGAGUCCCCAGUUUUUAAUAAUAUACCCCUGCUAAAACGGGUUGGGUUUAGGUCAAUAGCCAAUUUUUCAUACAUUAAAAAGUUAGGCAUAUUAUGGCCACGAAAUUGAACUUUUGGGAAUUAGUGAGAGUGUAGCAUAUGACUGUCCAUGUGUUCUGUAAGAGAGCCACUCAAAAGCCUGCCUUUAUAUGUAGUAGCUAGAUUCAGUGUUCUUCAUACAUUCAUAGAGCAGUAGAGUCUAUGUUUGUUGGAGAAUGAGCUUAGGAAUCUCAGUGGAGAGGGUCUCAGGACAGCUCUGGUUUCUAUAUUCAAAUUGAAGAUUAAAGUAGUUGGUUGAUUUCACUCAGAUAAUUGUUCUAUGAAGAGCUUUACGGAGAGCUCUAACAAGGAUGAAGAAUGAAGAAUCCGUGAAGAUAGUCUUAAUUGAUGGA